UACGUAGGGGGCAAGCGUUGUCCGGAAUCAUUGGGCGUAAAGAGCGUGUAGGCGGCCAGAUAAGUCCGCUGUGAAAUCUCGAGGCUCAACUUCGAGCUGUCGGUGGAAACUGUCUGGCUAGAGUCCGGAAGAGGAGAAUGGAAUUCCUGGUGUAGCGGUGAAAUGCGCAGAUAUCAGGAAGAACACCGAUGGCGAAGGCAGGUCUCUGGGCCACUACUGACGCUGAGAAGCGAAAGCAUGGGGAGCGAACAGG
Molecule: ribosomal RNA, 253 nt
Filed under: uncultured bacterium
Lineage: Bacteria
Description: partial 16S ribosomal RNA
Rfam family: Bacterial small subunit ribosomal RNA
Source: RNAcentral